RNAcentral lists this long non-coding RNA (860 nucleotides) under Carica papaya (papaya). RNAcentral's name for it is "long non-coding RNA (CPAP_LNC008614)". Lineage: Eukaryota; Viridiplantae; Streptophyta; Magnoliopsida; Brassicales; Caricaceae. The record is from RNAcentral.
UUUUAUUAACACAUGCAACAUGUAUAUCAAGUGUCACCAUAGGAAAUAUCAGCCAACAUACAAUGCAUUUAUUUAUCAAGUAUAUCCCAGCCACAAGUCGGCCCCAUACUCACACGCAGUUAUCCUGCACAUUAGAAACAACCAAUAAAUUAUUCAGGUUCUAUUUCCCUAGCUUAAGCUCAGUUCCUCUAUAUGCCCGCUCAUAUUUCCUCACACUAAACUCUUAUACAUUCUAUAUAUUUGCUAUACCUCUUCAUUAGUUCUCCUCUAUUUGGGAAUGAUGGUUUUCUAUUAUGUUUUACCUUUUUUUAUGACUCAGUUUGUGUAUAAGGAUAUCAGAUUUGUGUUCUCUUUCAUCUCUAUGUUGGAUUUAAGCCUACCAUUUCUUUUUUCCAUGAUUUUUCCAUAUCAUAGCCUACUCGUUCUUGUCCUUCUCCACUUCUUAGUAUCUAUUCAUGCUCUCUCCUCACCCGACUAUCUUAUUCGGUUCUCCCAACUCAACCCCUUUAGAUCUGGUCAUUUCUAAAAUAUAUUCAGCUGAUCACCAAAUUUUAUUUAACUAACAUUACUCUUACCUUCAACAGCCUCCACUGAUUUAGUAUUUAAUCACAACUUCCCUAUUUUAUAAUAAUUAUCGUUUAAAUGUAUGUAAAUAAAUCAUAUGAUGCAUAAUUCAUAAAUCAUAUGAUGCAUAAUUCCUAACUCCUCACCGUGCAUUCAUCAUUCGAAACAAGUAAUUCAAAUAUACUUUUCAAAUUCAGUGUUUAAAGUUAAAAUUUGUCUUACCUCUUGCUUUCGAAUGAAUGUUUGUCUAUGACAGUGGUCCUUCUCGUCCCCGCAAUUCUUGACGAGAAUUCCUU